GGUAUUGUAUAAAUUUUGAAUUUGUGACUUCAUAGAAUUUGAUUUCUUAUGUAUAUCGAUAAAUAUUUUCAAUAAAAUUUAAAAUAAAUGAGUCAAACUUUUUAUCUAUUAAAUAAAUAAAAUUAGAAUUGUCAUUUUUUUGGGGUCAAACUAGAUCCUUAUAUUUUGGCAUUUUAAACGCCACUUAACUUAAUUUAGAUAUAUUUAAUUUUGUGAUUGAUCUAUAAAUAUACUUCUCGGUCUUUCUUAAUUUUAAAACACUAUUAGUUCAUUAUUUAAUUUAUUCUGUCAGAAAAAAAAUAAGAUGAAAAUUUAUUAUCGAUCAUCGCUUAUUGGUCUCGUCAUGCUCACAAUUCUUCUGCUUGGAGUAGUGGCGAAUGCUCAAAAAGGAGGACCAGUCCGAAAACAAUGUGUUGAACAAUACCCGGACCCAAAUGGAAAAUGUGUUAUCGACCAAUGUAAAGCCCAAUGUGC
Molecule: long non-coding RNA, 474 nt
Organism: Brassica napus (rape)
Lineage: Eukaryota; Viridiplantae; Streptophyta; Magnoliopsida; Brassicales; Brassicaceae
Exons: 2
Source: RefSeq, a predicted model, not a curated record